RNAcentral lists this ribosomal RNA (168 nucleotides) under Didymophysa fenestrata. Its description in RNAcentral is "5.8S ribosomal RNA". It matches the Rfam family "5.8S ribosomal RNA". From Rfam's summary of the family: 5.8S ribosomal RNA (5.8S rRNA) is a component of the large subunit of the eukaryotic ribosome. It is transcribed by RNA polymerase I as part of the 45S precursor that also contains 18S and 28S rRNA. Lineage: Eukaryota; Viridiplantae; Streptophyta; Magnoliopsida; Brassicales; Brassicaceae. The record is from RNAcentral.
AAGUCUAAACGACUCUCGGCAACGGAUAUCUCGGCUCUCGCAUCGAUGAAGAACGUAGCGAAAUGCGAUACUUGGUGUGAAUUGCAGAAUCCCGUGAACCAUCGAGUUUUUGAACGCAAGUUGCGCCCCAAGCCUUUUGGCCAAGGGCACGUCUGCCUGGGUGUCACA